CCGCGACCCCAGCUCAGGCGGGACUACCCGCUGAGUUUAAGCAUAUCAAUAAGCG
Molecule: ribosomal RNA, 55 nt
Filed under: Hordeum marinum (seaside barley)
Lineage: Eukaryota; Viridiplantae; Streptophyta; Magnoliopsida; Poales; Poaceae
Description: partial 26S ribosomal RNA
Source: RNAcentral